CAGCCGCCGCGGUAAUACGAAGGGUGCAAGCGUUACUCGGAAUUACUGGGCGUAAAGCGUGCGUAGGUGGUUGUUUAAGUCUGCUGUGAAAGCCCUGGGCUCAACCUGGGAAUUGCAGUGGAUACUGGGCAACUAGAGUAAGGUAGAGGAUAGUGGAAUUUCCGGUGUAGCAGUGAAAUGCGUAGAGAUCGGAAGGAACAUCUGUGGCGAAGGCGACUAUCUGGGCCAUUACUGACACUGAGGCACGAAAGCGUGGGGAGCAAACAGGAUUAGAUACCCGUGUAGUCCCUGUCUCUUAUAC
Molecule: ribosomal RNA, 301 nt
Filed under: uncultured bacterium
Lineage: Bacteria
Description: partial 16S ribosomal RNA
Rfam family: Bacterial small subunit ribosomal RNA
Source: RNAcentral